AGUCCCUAAGCCGCUAAACGAAGUCUGAUCCCCAAUUCACUUCUCUUCUCUUCUCUUCUCAGUCUUCUGAUCUAAAUCUCUGAUCUUGGUGGAGACGACGAUGUCGGAGCGCUUCCAGCCCAGAUCGCGUAUGGCCUGGCCCAUGAUCUCCUCGGCGCGGCCGCUGGCGUAGACCUCCGCGUUGUCGAAGAAGUUGACGCCGUGGUCGCGGCAGCACUGGAGCAGCGACUUUGCCUCCUUCACGUCCAGCGACUUCAACUUCGCCAUAUGACAGCUGGCUCACCUUCAGCCCCGAUCCGCUGCCUUAAUUAUUUGAGCAGUAUGUUGAUUAUGCUUUUGAUGUUCCCAUGUACUUUGCUCCAGGUCAGUUAUUCACUUAUUUGAUUCAAAUCGUUCGAUGGCUAGAGCGAAGAAGGUAGCUGCUCGGCCUCAUCCAACCGCUUCGGGACUUUGAAUUCAUAAUCUGCAAUUUGCAGUUUUGCACAUAUUGUAUUAUUGUCCAUCUUCACUAGUUCAUUUCUUCUUUUCAAGAAUUCUUCAAUUCAUUUUAGUAUUUUACAUUGUUUGAUUUGGUUUAAGGCAAAAUUGAUUGUGUAGAUUUAUAAGUUGCA
Molecule: long non-coding RNA, 611 nt
Organism: Rosa rugosa (rugosa rose)
Lineage: Eukaryota; Viridiplantae; Streptophyta; Magnoliopsida; Rosales; Rosaceae
Exons: 2
Source: RefSeq, a predicted model, not a curated record